Molecule: ribosomal RNA, 931 nt
Filed under: Helicotylenchus pseudorobustus
Lineage: Eukaryota; Metazoa; Nematoda; Chromadorea; Rhabditida; Hoplolaimidae
Description: SSU rRNA
Rfam family: Eukaryotic small subunit ribosomal RNA
Source: RNAcentral
AAAGAUUAAGCCAUGCAUGUCUAAGUAUAACCUGCCAGACAGGGAAACUGCGUACGGCUCAUUACACCAGCCUUAAUUUACUUGACCUUGACAACCUACUUGGAUAACUGUGGUAAUUCUAGAGCUAAUACAUGCACCAAAGCUCCGAUCCUCGCGGAGAGGAGCGCAUUUGUUCGCCACAAAACCAAGCGCCCAUCUGGGCGUCCAGUGCUGAACCAGAACAACUCAGCUGAUCGCACGGUCUUGUACCGGCGACGUGUCUUUCAAGUGUCUGCCUUAUCAACUUUCGAUGGUAGUGUACCUGACUACCAUGGUUAUGACGGGUAACGGAGGAUAAGGGUUCGACUCCGGAGAAGGGGCCUGAGAAAUGGCCACUACGUCUAAGGAUGGCAGCAGGCGCGCAAAUUACCCACUCUCAACGCGAGGAGGUAGUGACGAGAAAUAACGAGACCGUUCUCAUACGAGGCCGGUUAUUGGAAUGGGUACAAUUUAAACCCUUUAACGAGUAUCUAUGAGAGGGCAGGUCUGGUGCCAGCAGCCGCGGUAAUUCCAGCUCUCAAAAUGCAUAGAAUUAUUGCUGCGGUUAAAAAGCUCGUAGUUGGAUCUGUGCCGACUGGCCGGUCCCCCUUUUGGGUGCGUACUGGUUCGGUUGGCUUUUCCGCCGGAGUGCCUGGCGUUGGUGCGCUCGCGAGGGUGUGCCAGCGCGGGUCCGGCAAGUUUACUUUGAACAAAUCAGAGUGCUUCAAACAGGCGUCUCGCCUGAAUGUUCGUGCAUGGAAUAAUAGAAGAGGAUUUCGGUCCGAUUUUAUUGGUUUUGCUGACCGAGAUAAUGGUUAACAGAGACAAACGGGGCCAUUCGUAUUGCUGCGUGAGAGGUGAAAUUCUUGGACCGUAGCAAGACGGACUACAGCGAAAGCAUUUGCCAAGAAUG